RNAcentral lists this ribosomal RNA (372 nucleotides) under uncultured organism. RNAcentral's name for it is "bacterial SSU rRNA". It matches the Rfam family "Bacterial small subunit ribosomal RNA", at positions 526 to 896 of the family's 1533-position model. The record is from RNAcentral.
CAGAGGGGGCAAGCGUUGUUCGGAAUUACUGGGCGUAAAGGGCGCGUAGGCGGCCUGCUAAGUCGAACGUGAAAUCCCUGGGCUCAACCCAGGAACUGCGUCCGAUACUGGUUGGCUUGAAUCCGGGAGAGGGAUGUGGAAUUCCAGGUGUAGCGGUGAAAUGCGUAGAUAUCUGGAGGAACACCGGUGGCGAAGGCGUCCCUCUGGCCGGAUACUGACGCUGAGACGCGAAAGCGUGGGGAGCAAACAGGAUUAGAUACCCUGGUAGUCCACGCCAUAAACGAUGGGUACUAGGUGUUCGGGGUAUUGACCCCCUGAGUGCCGCAGCUAACGCAUUAAGUACCCCGCCUGGGGAAUACGGCCGCAAGGUUA